This 74-nucleotide transfer RNA is filed under the name Microbacterium phage Big4. Its description in RNAcentral is "tRNA-Leu". It matches the Rfam family "tRNA". From Rfam's summary of the family: Transfer RNA (tRNA) molecules are approximately 80 nucleotides in length. Their secondary structure includes four short double-helical elements and three loops (D, anti-codon, and T loops). The record is from RNAcentral. Lineage: Duplodnaviria; Heunggongvirae; Uroviricota; Caudoviricetes.
GGCGCGGUAGGCAAUGGAAGACCACUGAUGCUCAGAACAUCAGAUGCUGCGGGUUCGAAUCCCGUCUGCGCUAC